This 472-nucleotide ribosomal RNA is filed under the name uncultured bacterium. RNAcentral's name for it is "bacterial SSU rRNA". It matches the Rfam family "Bacterial small subunit ribosomal RNA", at positions 328 to 793 of the family's 1533-position model. The record is from RNAcentral.
CUCUGUGACUCCUACGGGAGGCAGCAGUGGGGAAUAUUGCACAAUGGGCGCAAGCCUGAUGCAGCCAUGCCGCGUGUGUGAAGAAGGCCUUCGGGUUGUAAAGCACUUUCAGUUGUGAGGAAGGUGGUGUCGUUAAUAGCGGCAUCAUUUGACGUUAGCAACAGAAGAAGCACCGGCUAACUCCGUGCCAGCAGCCGCGGUAAUACGGAGGGUGCGAGCGUUAAUCGGAAUUACUGGGCGUAAAGCGCAUGCAGGUGGUUUGUUAAGUCAGAUGUGAAAGCCCGGGGCUCAACCUCGGAACUGCAUUUGAAACUGGCAGACUAGAGUACUGUAGAGGGGGUAGAAUUUCAGGUGUAGCGGUGAAAUGCGUAGAGAUCUGAAGGAAUACCGGUGGCGAAGGCGGCCCCCUGGACAGAUACUGACACUCAGAUGCGAAAGCGUGGGGAGCAAACAGGUUUAGAUACCCUGGUAG